AGAGGCAGGUAGGGACGCGUGGUGGUUCCCGCACAGGGUGAACAAUGAGAUUCCUUUAGAAGGCGUUGGCAUCACUUCUUGCUGUUGGGGUGGCGGAAAAAGUCGCUCUGGGAGGGGGAGAAGCUGCUGGUAAACCCGAG
This is a non-coding RNA of Myotis lucifugus (little brown bat), 140 nucleotides long. The record is from Rfam. Lineage: Eukaryota; Metazoa; Chordata; Mammalia; Chiroptera; Vespertilionidae.